AGAGUUUGAUCCUGGCUCAGGAUGAACGCUGGCGGUAUGCUUAACACAUGCAAGUCGAACGGAACCUUUCGGGGUUUAGUGGCGGACGGGUGAGUAACGCGUGAGAAUCUGCCCAUAGGUUGGGGACAACCACUGGAAACGGUGGCUAAUACCGAAUAAGCCGGAAGGUGAAAGAGAAAUUGCCUAAGGAAGAGCUCGCGUCUGAUUAGCUAGUUGGUGGGGUAAAGGCCUACCAAGGCACCGAUCAGUAACUGGUCUGAGAGGAUGGCCAGUCACACUGGGACUGAGACACGGCCCAGACUCCUACGGGAGGCAGCAGUGGGGAAUUUUCCGCAAUGGGCGAAAGCCUGACGGAGCAAUACCGCGUGGGGGAGGAAGGCUCUUGGGUCGUAAACCUCUUUUCUCAGGGAAGAAAAAAAUGACGGUACCUGAGGAAUCAGCAUCGGCUAACUCCGUGCCAGCAGCCGCGGUAAUACGGAGGAUGCAAGCGUUAUCCGGAAUGAUUGGGCGUAAAGCGUCCGCCAGGUGGCAGUACAAGUCUGCUGUCAAAGGUCAAGGCUUAACUUUGGACAGGCAGUGGAAACUGUACAGCUAGAGUAUGGUGGGGGCAGAGGGAAUUCCCAGUGUAGCGGUGAAAUGCGUAGAGAUUGGGAAGAACACCAGUGGCGAAAGCGCUCUGUAGGCCAAAACUGACACUCA
This 699-nucleotide ribosomal RNA is filed under the name uncultured cyanobacterium. Its description in RNAcentral is "bacterial SSU rRNA". It matches the Rfam family "Bacterial small subunit ribosomal RNA", at positions 8 to 749 of the family's 1533-position model. Lineage: Bacteria; Bacillati; Cyanobacteriota. The record is from RNAcentral.